UUUCCGUAGGUGAACCUGCGGAAGGAUCAUUACAAACUUCAUGCCCGAAAAGGUAGACCUCCUACCCUUGUGUAUGAUUACUUUGUUGCUUUUGCCAGCGCAAGCUCGUCAGUGAAUAACAAAACUCUUUUUAUUAAUGUCGCCUGAAUACUAAAUUAUAGUUAAAACUUUCAGCAACGGAUCUCUUGGUUCUG
This 194-nucleotide unclassified non-coding RNA is filed under the name plant metagenome. RNAcentral describes it as "partial contains small subunit ribosomal RNA, internal transcribed spacer 1, and 5.8S ribosomal RNA". The record is from RNAcentral.